RNAcentral lists this long non-coding RNA (263 nucleotides) under Arabidopsis lyrata. RNAcentral's name for it is "long non-coding RNA (ALYR_LNC001523)". Lineage: Eukaryota; Viridiplantae; Streptophyta; Magnoliopsida; Brassicales; Brassicaceae. The record is from RNAcentral.
UUUUUUUUUUUUUUUGAUAACCCAGUAUCCAGACCACACAGUGAUCUGACUAGCCCACUGGGCCUAAGCCCGCGUCACAUGGAUUUUUAAGCCUCCACUUAAGGGCCCCCUGAUAAACUAGUGGUCUGGGGCGCCUGAGCAAGUCCGCAGGUAAAUUCCCAGGUGGCCACAGGAGUGAGAGAGCGAAACUGCGUCUGGGGAGGAUCGAUCCCUGGCCUAGACCAACAGGGCGAUCCUUCCAACCAAACGAGAACCAUUCGCCC